GACGACCAGCCACACUGGGACUGAGACACGGCCCAGACUCCUACGGGAGGCAGCAGUGGGGAAUUUUGGACAAUGGGGGCAACCCUGAUCCAGCCAUGCCGCGUGCAGGAUGAAGGCCUUCGGGUUGUAAACUGCUUUUGUCAGGGACGAAAAGGACCGUGUUAAUACCAUGGUCUGCUGACGGUACCUGAAGAAUAAGCACCGGCUAACUACGUGCCAGCAGCCGCGGUAAUACGUAGGGUGCAAGCGUUAAUCGGAAUUACUGGGCGUAAAGCGUGCGCAGGCGGUUCUGUAAGACAGAUGUGAAAUCCCCGGGCUCAACCUGGGAAUUGCAUUUGUGACUGCAGGACUAGAGUUCAUCAGAGGGGGGUGGAAUUCCAAGUGUAGCAGUGAA
RNAcentral lists this ribosomal RNA (394 nucleotides) under uncultured bacterium. RNAcentral's name for it is "bacterial SSU rRNA". It matches the Rfam family "Bacterial small subunit ribosomal RNA", at positions 299 to 685 of the family's 1533-position model. The record is from RNAcentral.